AUGGCAUUUCUUACCCUUCUGUGGGCAAUCACUGCUUCCAACUGCCUUGGAUCCAGCGUGGCCCAGAGCAUCUCUCAGCCUGAAACAACAGCGUCCGGAAAGGAGGGGGACACUCUGACCCUGCCCUGCACCUAUGAUACCAGCGAUAAUAACUAUUAUUUGUUCUGGUACAGACAGUCUCCCAGGGGAAACCUGAUUUACCUUAUCAGUCAGAGUUCUUGGGCUUCAGAAAAUGCAAGAACUGGCAAAUUCUCUGUGACUUUCCAGAAAGAGAAUAAGUCCAUCGACCUCACCAUCACAGCCUUACAGCUGGGGGACUCGGCUGUGUAUUUCAGUGCUUACGACAAAGUCCACGGUGAGAUGACUGGCAGGAGGAGCUGUACAAAAACCCCAGAGCCCUGA
This is a non-coding RNA of Tachyglossus aculeatus (Australian echidna), 402 nucleotides long. Lineage: Eukaryota; Metazoa; Chordata; Mammalia; Monotremata; Tachyglossidae. The record is from the annotation of a RefSeq genome assembly.